Populus nigra (black poplar) is the source of this 4164-nucleotide RNA transcript. It is a transcript of the gene named protein CYPRO4-like, with no coding region annotated. Lineage: Eukaryota; Viridiplantae; Streptophyta; Magnoliopsida; Malpighiales; Salicaceae. The record is from RefSeq and is a predicted model, not a curated record. The transcript has 3 exons.
CACAAACGUCCAUAAACUGUCAUCCUUAAUUUAUAAAUCCUAACGCUAACCCUAAAUUCUCAAAUUUCCUUCCCAGAUCCCCCCCCCCCGUUCAUCCCAUUCUGUUCCCCGGCAAGACCAUCAUGUUGAUAACUUAAGAUAGAAGGGCCAUUAAAACCAAUGUCAAUAUCCCCACCGGCCAAGUCAUUUCCUAAACACACAGCCCACCAGAAUCAACUGAACAAAAGUUUCUAAUGUAAGAUUCCUCUCUUUCACAAGGUUUCCGAAAAUCGUUUAACUGUGACUAAAAAUAGACAAUUGUUGUCACACACAUUUAAUGCACUAGGAGAAUUUUGGUUAACUCUCUGCUGCUUGUUUUUCCAGAUGAAAUAGAGUUUUGUGAUUUUUUUAUUUUUUUAUUUGAAAUUAUUAAUUUUUAGUGUUUUUGGAUGAUGAUUUGAUUUUUUCAUUUUUCUUGCAAAUAUUCAGAGCUUUCAUAAUGUGAACAAGGUGUCAUCAUUGAGUUCAUCAAUAUCUAUAUCAAUUUCCUCCUCUCCACUAUCCCUCCCGCUUAAACAAUGUUCCCUCAAGAAAUCAAUUAUAUUUACAUGCAUUUCUCCCAACAGAAACUCUAACUCUCUACCAGCUUUCCAGGCUUUGGCAUAAUGUCAUGCAUUUCUCCCAACGCAGACUUCAAUUCUCUACCUAAAUUGAGCCUCUUUUCAUAUGUCAUUCCUAGCUUUCCAAGCUCUGACAUGAUGUCAUGUUGGAAAGAAGUUACUUCCCUCUUUUUUGCCGGAGACAUUUCAGCAGUUUUAAAAGUCUUCAUGAGGGCCUAAAUUUGAUGAUUUUAGGGUUUGUGGGAAAGGUGGUAUUUUUAGGGGGGUUCCAGACAAGAAAAAGAAAGCGAGAUCUGUCAUUUAUUCACUGAAUUUCAUCUCAUUUAGUUUUUGUAAGAUCUGACUUGUUGGGAAAAUUAUUCUGAAAGGAGAUUUAUUGGGAUUCGGUUAUGAAUUUCGAGGAGUUUUUUUAACACAGUUUUGUAAUUUUGAUACUGUAAGAGUAUUUUAAUCGUUAAUUAAAAUAUAAUGAUAAUUUUAUAAAAAAAAAUAGAUUUUUAAAAUUUUUCUUGCAUUUAUAAAGUUCCUGUAAUUUUUAAAACAACGAAGCAUCAUGAAAAAAUGACUAAAAGUAAAUCCCUAUAAGAAGCCAAACCUGAAACAGCUCCAAUUUCAAAUUUAGAGCUUGGCGCUCUAACCAAUCCCUCUCCGGUGCUCUUUCGAAAAAACCUAAACUCAUUCCUCUGUCUCAAGAGAAAAAGAAAGCGAAAAUGGGGGGCUCUCAAAGCCGUGAAGAUCUGGAGCUCUCAGACUCGGACACAGAGGGCCAACAAGAAGAAGAAACGGAAGAAGAAGAAGAAAACUACCAAGAUGUCAGCAAUGAAACCCCAGAAAAAUCAUCCUCCACGGGAAGAAACAGACCCAAAACCCCAUCUUCUCUUGAUGAAGUCGAAUCCAAGCUUAAAGCCCUAAAACUCAAAUACCCCUCAACAACAACCCGAACCCAGCAGAGUCCUAACUCUAAUUUUAAAAAUGGUGUCAAACUUUACCUUCAUAUCGGCGGUAACACCCCAAAAGCCAAAUGGGUUACUUCAGAGAAGUUGACUUCUUAUUCUUUCAUCAAGACCUCAAAAAUUAAUGGUCAAGAUGAAGAGGACGACUCGGAGUCAGAAUCUGAAGGAGUUUCUUGGUGGGUUUUGAAGGUUAGUACAAAAAUUAGAGCGAAAGUCGCUGUUGAGAUGCAAUUGAAAACAUUUAAGGAACAGCGCCGCGUUGAUUUUGUUGCUGACGGUGUUUGGGCUAUAAAGUUUUUCAGUGAUGAAGAUUAUAAGGUUUUUAAUAGCAAGUACCAGGAAUGUUUGUUUGAGAAUACUUUUGGGUACGAGUCCAAUGAAGCAAACAAGGUUAAGGUUUACGGGAAGGAUUUUGUUGGGUGGGCGAACCCGGAAAAGGCAGAUGAUUCUAUGUGGGAGGAUGCAGAGGAUGAUUUCUUAAAAAGCCCUGGAUCUGUGACCCCUGUGAGGGGAAAUCAAGAUCUGCAAGAGGAAUUUGAGGAGGCAGCCAAUGGAGGGAUACAGAGCUUGGCAUUGGGUGCGCUGGAUAAUAGUUUCUUGGUGGGUAGUUCAGGGAUUCAGGUCGUUAAGAACUUUAGCCACGGGAUUCAUGGAAAGGGUGCUUAUGUCAAUUUUGGAAGUGGGAAUCAUAGGAGUUCUUCGAAUUUGGUGCAUUCGACUCCUAAAAAGGCACUUCUUAUGCGGGCUGAGACUAAUAUGUUGCUUAUGAGUCCGAUGAAUGAAGGGAAAUUGCAUUCUACUGGUUUGCAUCAACUUGAUAUAGAGACUGGGAAGAUUAUUACUGAGUGGAGGUUUGAAAAGGAUGGAACUGAUAUUACCAUGAGGGAUAUUGCAAAUGAUAGCAAGGGAGCACAGUUGGAUCCGUCAGGAUCUACAUUUUUGGGAUUGGAUGACAAUAGGCUUUGCAGGUGGGAUAUGCGUGACCGGCAUGGGAUUGUUCAAAAUCUUGCUACAGCUAAUACUCCUGUUCUGAAUUGGACUCAAGGACAUCAGUUUUCAAGAGGUACUAACUUCCAGUGCUUUGCGAGCACAGGUGAUGGAUCAAUUGUUGUUGGGUCUCGUGAUGGGAAGAUUCGAUUGUAUUCAGGCAAUUCGAUGCGGCAGGCAAAAACAGCUUUUCCUGGCCUGGGAUCACCUAUUACUCAUGUUGAUGUUACCUUUGAUGGGAAGUGGAUAUUGGGCACCACCGAUACAUAUUUGAUCCUUAUCUGCACUCUUUUCACAGACAAGGAUGGUAAGAUGAAGACUGGUUUUAAUGGUCGUAUGGGUAACAGGAUUGCAGCUCCGAGAUUGUUGAAGCUGACUCCUCUGGAUUCACAUCUAGCUGGAGUUAAUAACAAGUUCCAAAAGGCUCAGUUCUCUUGGGUCACAGAGAAUGGGAAGCAGGAGCGCCAUUUGGUUGCAACAGCUGGCAAGUUCAGUGCGAUAUGGAACUUCCAGCAGGUAAAGAAUGGUUCCCAUGAGUGCUAUCGUAAUCAAGAGGGCUUGAAGAGCUGUUACUGCUACAAGGUAGUCCUUAAGGAUGACUCCAUUGUUGAUAGCCGUUUCAUGCAUGACAAGUUUGCAGUCAGCGAUUCUCCUGAGGCUCCACUGGUGAUUGCAACCCCCAUGAAAGUCAGCUCCUUCAGCAUAUCCAGCAGGCGCUGAUUGCUGAAUAUUGCUCCCCAGUUGAUCACUCUCUCGGUGUCCGAAAUGCUUUUCUAAAAUUUCUGAAUUGUAUUUUUUAAUUUUUGAUUAACUAGCAGGUUGGAGUGCUGUCGUGAUUUCUUGUUCCUUUUCCCCCUUCUGCUUGCUGUUGUGAAGUUAGGCUGCCCGGCAUCCUCCCUGGCUGUUUGAUUGGCCAUCAUAAAUUUAGUGGGAGUUUGUGGGACUAUGUUGUCUUCGUAUGGAUGAGUUCUUAUUUUGGAUGGUAGUUGUAUACGUAGCUAUGAUGGAUGCCUUCGGUAACCACUCGCUUGUAUAGAGAGAGGGAGAGAAGAAAAAAUGGCUGUUGCAACGGGUAGAGCUUUCCUUAUUCAGCCAUGUUUUUCUUCUUCGUUACGCUCCUUGCCUAAGAACAUAAAUAAGUCAUCAUAUGGUGCAGCAGAUGUGUUUUGCCUGCCAAACCAGGAAGCACUCCUUGCACACCACUUGUGGUUCAUGCCCAACAGCGACCCACAUGGCUUCCUGGGCUUGAUCCUCCACCAUAUCUUGAUGGAACGUGAGCCGCUCACUGUGCUCUGUUUAAUUCUCGAUCUGAACUUAAAAAUUUCUGUUUGUUGUUUAUGUUUUGCUUAAUCUUGCUGUGUUUCUCUAAGUUUAGUUUGGCAGGAGAGUUUGGGUUUGACCCACUUGGCCUUGGAGAGGAUCCGGAAAGUGGUAUGUGAAGGCAGAGUUGGUCCAUGCGCCAUGGCUGGAGUUGCGGGAAUUCUUUUCACAGAUGUGAGUUACACAAAACCCGUCUCGGGUUAAAACUAGUGCUGAAAUAAGUCAUUGAGUGAUUGUAAAUAUAAACAAUCAAAUGUAUAAAUUAUAUUACCUAUAAUAUUAGAAUUGUGUCAUGUUAUUUACUA